GUAAAGAGGACUUCACAGACGACUUCUACCCCAGUUUCGAAGUCCACAAUCUUGACAGCCUCGACAAUUAAAAUUACUCCAGGCAUUACAAAGACUUCAAAACCGAAAACUACAC
This is a long non-coding RNA of Suncus etruscus (white-toothed pygmy shrew), 115 nucleotides long. RefSeq lists it as uncharacterized. NCBI's taxonomy places the organism in Eukaryota, Metazoa, Chordata, Mammalia, Eulipotyphla, Soricidae. The record is from RefSeq and is a predicted model, not a curated record. The transcript has 3 exons.